AUUGAACGCUGGCGGCGUGCCUAACACAUGCAAGUCGAGCGGUAACAGGUGUAGCAAUACAUGCUGACGAGCGGCGAACGGGUGAGUAAUGCUUCGGAAUCUACCUUAUGGUGGGGAAUAACUAGCCGAAAGGUUAGCUAAUACCGCAUACGUCCUACGGGAGAAAGCAGGGGAUCGCAAGACCUUGCGCCAAAAGAUGAGCCGAAGUCGGAGUAGCUAGUUGGUAGGGUAACGGCCUACCAAAGCGACGAUCCGUAGCUGGUGUGAGAGGACGACCAGCCACACUGGGACUGAGACACGGCCCAGACUCCUACGGGAGGCAGCAGUGGGGAAUAUUGGACAAUGGGGGAAACCCUGAUCCAGCGACGCCGCGUGUGUGAAGAAGGCCUGCGGGUUGUAAAGCACUUUUAGUGGGGAUGAAAUGUGCAGGGUUAAUACCUCUGCAUUUUGACCUAACCCACAGAAAAAGCACCGGCUAACUCUGUGCCAGCCGCCGCAGUAA
RNAcentral lists this ribosomal RNA (502 nucleotides) under uncultured bacterium. RNAcentral's name for it is "partial 16S ribosomal RNA". It matches the Rfam family "Bacterial small subunit ribosomal RNA", at positions 30 to 523 of the family's 1533-position model. The record is from RNAcentral.